AUGGCUGUCGUCAGCUCGUGUCGUGAGAUGUUGGGUUAAGUCCCGCAACGAGCGCAACCCUUGUCCUAUGUUGCCAGCGGGUAAUGCCGGGGACUCGUAGGAGACUGCCGGGGUCAACUCGGAGGAAGGUGGGGAUGACGUCAAGUCAUCAUGCCCCUUACGUCCAGGGCUGCACACAUGCUACAAUGGCCGGUACAAAGGGCUGCUAUCCCGCGAGGGUGAGCGAAUCCCAAAAAGCCGGUCUCAGUUCGGAUCGUAGUCUGCAACUCGACUACGUGAAGUCGGAGUCGCUAGUAAUCCCGGAUCAGCAACGCCGGGGUGAAUACGUUCCCGGGCCUUGUACACACCGCCCGUCACACCACGAAAGUCGGUAACACCCGAAGCCAGUGGCCCAACCGCAAGGAGGGAGCUGUCGAAGGUGGGAUUGGUGAUUGGGGUGAAGUCGUAACAAGGUAGCCGUACCGGAAGGUGCGGCUGGAUCACCUCCUUUCUAAGGAGUACCCGCUCAGACAUGUUGUCUUUUUCUAGACACCUUGUCUGAGAACUCCCAGUUGAUCACUAGCCAGUUGGCAUCCUGUCCGUCAGGUCAUGGUCGAAGAUUUCGGUCUCCCAUGGCACGCCGGCGAGAUGCCUAAGCAAUCCUCUGUUCCGUUUUCUGGGGGCGCCGCAGCGCGGCGUCCCCGGCGUGUCGUGGGCCCUUUGUGUGCCCGGCGCCCCUUGAGAACUCCAUAGCGAGCACGAGCAUCUUUGUUUACCAGGCUACAAAGAGCCAACGGUGGAUGCCUUGGCGCCUGAAGCCGAUGAAGGACGUGGGUGGCUGCGAAAAGCCACGGGGAGCUGCCUACCAAGCUUUGAUCCGUGGAUAUCCGAAUGGGGAAACCCGG
Molecule: small RNA, 884 nt
Filed under: uncultured Acidimicrobiales bacterium
Lineage: Bacteria; Bacillati; Actinomycetota; Acidimicrobiia; Acidimicrobiales
Description: bacterial SSU rRNA
Rfam family: Bacterial small subunit ribosomal RNA (bases 1-490)
Source: RNAcentral